CAAAUUAAGAGUAUCUUCAUGAAGGUUGAAAAGACGAGAGGAUUAAAAAGGUGUAUAGCGUAAUUAUAUAAUUAUGGGGGAAAUCACAGAGGAAGUUCACCGCUGUCUGCAAUGACGACUUUGCUCUUCGGAGUGCCAUUCUGCCUCCCUUCAGCUUCAACCUUGUAAACUACAUCCAUCCCCGAUAGCACCUUUCCAAAUACAACAUGCCUGCCAUCCAACCUGCAAGCCAUUCCAAUGAUAAGUUGACAAAGAUAAAACAUCUUAUAUGGUAGAAAAAUCAAACAUCUGGGGUUUUAAAUUGAUCAUAAUUGUGAAUGCUUUUAUAAUCCACAUUGUUCUUCUGCAGCACAUGUAACACAACUAGGGUCAUAUUUAAGAGUCCAGACAAGCAUAUCUGGCUAAAGCGGAGGCCUCCAAAAGGCGUGAUUUGCAGAAAUUUGUACAAAAUAGCAUUACAUGAACUAAUAUCCCUAUGAGGGAUACCAUACACAUGAUAAAGUAAAGAUUUAAAAAAUUUCAAAGUAAGAAAAUUUGCUUAGAUUAUGCUUUCCAUUUAUCUCUUUGUGGGUGCAGAUAUAAUUACCAGCUAGUUGUCACAGUUGUAAUGAAGAAUUGUGAACCAUUGGUGUCUGGCCCAGCAUUUGCCAUUGACAAAAGCCCUGUUCACAGAAUUUAAUAUUCGUUACAUUGAAUGCUUUUAACCAUUGAAUAAUGCUUGCAUGGCCGUAUACAAACCAAUCAAAAGAAUGGGCUAAUAAGUGUACCUGGGCCGGUGUGCUUCAGUUUGAAAUUUUCGUCAGGGAACUUCUCUCCAUAAAUUGACUCUCCACCUCUUCCAUCACCAAGAGUGAAAUCACCUCCUUGAAGCAUAAAGCUGGGAAUAAUCCUAUGAAACGUACUUCCCUUGUAGUGGAGUGGCUUCCCACUCUUGCCAAUCCCUUUCUCCCCUGAAAUGAUAAAGUGAUAUACAACAAAACAACGGCCAAGUACACCGUUACUAUCCAAUGGUUCAAAUACAUUGAAAAUGAUAUGCCAUUAAAAUUUCAUUUGCAGUUUUACACAGUUUUUGGAAUUCCCUAUGAAUAAUAUUAGCUGUUUAAAUUUCUAAUUUGGUUGAAGAAAAUGUAUUGUCUUUCACCUAUCUUGUAACUAUAGUAAGAUCACUGAUGAACUGAGAAAGGUGGUGCAGCAAAUUUUAUUUUUAACUCAAAAAAAUUUAAGAUCUUUAAUCAUGUAUUAGGCGUCAAGUCAACUCAAACAAAGAAAGCCAAGAUCGCUG
This 1282-nucleotide long non-coding RNA is filed under the name Citrus sinensis (sweet orange). Its description in RNAcentral is "long non-coding RNA (CSIN_LNC003685)". The record is from RNAcentral. Lineage: Eukaryota; Viridiplantae; Streptophyta; Magnoliopsida; Sapindales; Rutaceae.